This 874-nucleotide long non-coding RNA is filed under the name Pan troglodytes (chimpanzee). RNAcentral describes it as "lincRNA". Lineage: Eukaryota; Metazoa; Chordata; Mammalia; Primates; Hominidae. The record is from RNAcentral.
AGGUGCGGAUCGAUGAGUACGAUCACUCCAAGCUCAUCCAGGGGCAACAGAAGAAGCCCUUUGAGGAGCACUGGAGGAAGCACACCCUGUCCUAUGUGGACGUCAGCACUGGGAAGGUCACUCUGGAAUAUAGACCCAUAAUCGACAAAACUUUGAACGAGGCUGACUGUGCCACCGUCCCCCCAGCCAUUCGCUCCUACUGAUGAGACAAGAUGCGGUGAUGACAGAAUCAGCUUUUUGCACAGCCAGAGAACAACACAUCACACACAAGAAACAGUUGUGCUCAUGUGAUGGGGGCCUCAGCACUAGGAAGGAGUGGACUGUUGGCGCACGCAGCAGCUUGAAUAAAUCUGAAAGUCACUACGCUGCGUAAGAGAAGCCAAAUAAAGCGCAUGCUGUGUACAGAGGGUGUCGAGAAUGUGUCCUACGUGACGGAAAGCAGAUCCGUGGUUCCCUGCAGACUGGCAGGAGCAGAUUCCAAAGGCACAGGAAGAAGCUUGCAGGCAGCUAUUCCCAACCCCAGAACCUUUGCUGUCUUGGAACAGAUCACCACUGCAAGAGGGGAAGUUGCUACUGUGAUGAAUUCUGCCAUGUGGUACCAGACUGCUACCCAGACCACAGUGUCCUCUGCAACCCUCGUAACUCACAUACAGGCCUGAUUCCACCUACAGCAAAGCUGGAUGCUAUGGUUGGCAGAGGCAAACCCUUUGCCUGCACUUCAGGCCAAAGCCGGGAUGUGGCCUAGAUGGUUCCUAAGGUCCCUGACAAUCCUGAGAUCUUGCAUCUUGUCUAUUUCAGGUCAAAGGUGCCUACAUGUUCCUUCUAGCUUUGUUUCCCUGAUGUUCCUUGCCACCUGCUACUCCUCUCUGAGCUA